AUGCAACCCCACUUUGCUCUAAUACCAAACUUAGGGCACUAUUUAUAGAGUGAGAGAUAGGGUGUUAGGGUUGUGAUGUGGGUUAAAAGAGAAAAGAGUGGGGGCACAAGAGAGAGAGGCUUGGGCAGCACUAGAGUUUAGCGCAUGGAGUCUUUGAUGGGGUGUUUUGCGUAUAAGAAAUAAGAGAGGGCAUGGGAGGCAUGAAGAAUGUGGAAGAAAGAAAGAAAU
This 228-nucleotide long non-coding RNA is filed under the name Elaeis guineensis (African oil palm). RNAcentral's name for it is "long non-coding RNA (EGUI_LNC056538)". The record is from RNAcentral. Lineage: Eukaryota; Viridiplantae; Streptophyta; Magnoliopsida; Arecales; Arecaceae.